Clostridium sp. CAG:277 is the source of this 135-nucleotide non-coding RNA. The record is from Rfam. Lineage: Bacteria; Bacillati; Bacillota; Clostridia; Eubacteriales; Clostridiaceae.
AUCAAGCAAGCUAUACUGCCGUAGACAGUAGGUGCCGAUAGUUCGGCGUAAGGAGACCGCCUACCGAGGAAGGAUGUAAUUAUUUUGAUGAUUUCACCUCUCUGUGUUUACGCAGGGAGGUUUUUUAUUUUGAAG